Schistocerca piceifrons (Central American locust) is the source of this 1127-nucleotide long non-coding RNA. RefSeq lists it as uncharacterized. The record is from RefSeq and is a predicted model, not a curated record. The transcript has 5 exons. Lineage: Eukaryota; Metazoa; Arthropoda; Insecta; Orthoptera; Acrididae.
GUAUCCGUGUAGUAAUGUCGUUGGUUGAAAGAAGGUGAAUUGGUGAUGGAGAAGUUGAGGCUGUAAGUCUUUCGUACUGACGGCAAACUUUUCAGUGUAGGAGGAUUUGUUUCAUGGUGGAACUGCUCUAAUGCUCUUAGAAAAUUCCAUGUGCUGUCAUUUUCUGUUAAAAACAGAAGAUUUCAGUCAGUUCCAGUUGUAUGUUCAUAAGACUAUGGAAUUGAACAAAAAUUUUUCAUCCAGACUUGCAAUAUUGCUACUGAGAUGUUGAACACAAUUUUCUGGUGGAUGACAAUAUAAUUUCUUUUAAAAUUGAUUUGUCACCACGUGGGGAACUGAAAACUGACAGGUAUUUUGAGACACUAUUCAUGUGGAAGGUGAUCACACCGAUGCCACAAAUACCAUCAAUACUGCAUGAUUUAGGCAAACAGGUUGUGUAGGCUGAAACAAGGAAGGGAAAAGUAGCUGUGUAUACUGAGGAAAAUGUAAAAGGUGGAUGAGAAAAUUUGAAAUUUUCAGAAGUGAAAACUCAAUGACAUCGUCACUAUGAUCCAAUCAUUAUCAAUUUGGGGCAUGCAGAAAAAAUGAGCUCAUUAUACGUGUAAUAAUUUAUUUGAAUGUGUUUUGAAGAAAUGGGGGUAGACAAUUGGGAACUAAAUGCAGUGGAAUAGGCUUGUCCAUUGAUAUAAAAAUGUUUCACACUGUUCAUUUCUGGACUGGGUGUGCGUAUGGACAGCAUAAUGAGGGACUGAACAUGGGAAUUUCUACACAAGGUAAUUUGGAUGGCUUACAACCUCCGUCCCGCUGUGGGAUUAUGAAACCAUUACCAAUAGUAAUCAACAAUUUCACUGAUCAAUUACUGGGGGUGCACUGCCUGCUUGUGGGCUCAGUAUGUGAAACAAGUGCAUGUCACAGAGGCAUAAUUGUUUUACGUGUGCGCGUCUUGUAUUGUGGCACAGUUUAUGAGAACACACGGUUUCAUAUUGUCUGUUGUUUCUUCAGCUUCAUUGUGUAAUCACUGUUGUUUAUAUUUUAAUCUUUUGUAUGGUCCUGGAUUUUCUUUACUGAAUAAAACAUAUGUAAGAAGGUAAGUCAGUUACUGGAAAUAAAAAUAUUGUUGCAACUUC